UUUUUUUUUUUUUUUUUUUUUUUUUUUUUUCCGAGU
Molecule: non-coding RNA, 36 nt
Filed under: Alexandrium minutum
Lineage: Eukaryota; Dinophyceae; Gonyaulacales; Pyrocystaceae
Source: RNAcentral